AGCGAACGCUGGCGGCAGGCUUAACACAUGCAAGUCGAGCGGGCAUACGUGUGGUGUUAGAGGCAGACGGGUGAGUAACGCGUGGGAAAGUGACCUGCGGGUAGGAAUAACUCAGGGCAACUUGAGCUAAUACCAGAUAGGUGCGAGAGCAGAAAGGUUUAUCUGCCGAAGGAAGGGACCGCGUCUGAUUAGUUAGUUGGUGAGGUUACGGCUCACCAAGGCGACGAUCAGUAGCUGGUCUGAGAGGAUGGUCCGACACACCGGGACUAAGACACAGCCCCGACUCCUACGGAAUGCAGCAAUGGGGUAUGUUGGACCACGGCGGCAGCCCUGAUCCUGCCCUGCCCGGUAAGUGCUGUUGGCCUUGAUGUUGUAAUGCUCUUUUCUCCGGGACGAUAAUGACGGUACCGUAUGAAUAAGCCCCGGCUAACUACGUG
Molecule: ribosomal RNA, 437 nt
Filed under: uncultured bacterium
Lineage: Bacteria
Description: partial 16S ribosomal RNA
Rfam family: Bacterial small subunit ribosomal RNA
Source: RNAcentral